GGUGGUUCUUGGGUGACAUACCCCAGAAGCAGGCUCCCUCCUCUCUGGUUCUGGGUGUGUUAACCUGAGAACCCA
This is a non-coding RNA of Myotis brandtii (Brandt's bat), 75 nucleotides long. The record is from Rfam. Lineage: Eukaryota; Metazoa; Chordata; Mammalia; Chiroptera; Vespertilionidae.